GCAGUGAUGGUCAGUGGUAGAAUUCUCACCUUCCAUGUGGGAAACCCAGGUUUGAUUCCUGGCCAAUGCA
Molecule: transfer RNA, 70 nt
Filed under: Loxodonta africana (African savanna elephant)
Lineage: Eukaryota; Metazoa; Chordata; Mammalia; Proboscidea; Elephantidae
Rfam family: tRNA
About the family: Transfer RNA (tRNA) molecules are approximately 80 nucleotides in length.
Source: Rfam by way of RNAcentral